This 749-nucleotide unclassified non-coding RNA is filed under the name Hevea brasiliensis (rubber tree). Lineage: Eukaryota; Viridiplantae; Streptophyta; Magnoliopsida; Malpighiales; Euphorbiaceae. The record is from RNAcentral.
UAUCCAUCUCCAAAUAAAAAAAGUGCAGAUGGCAGAAAUAAUUGUUCUUAAAAUCAAUGUUACACUAACAAUAAUUUUCUUGUUCUCAAUUUGAUAAAUCAAUGUUUACACAAUAAUUUGUAUACCUCGUUAAUUAUCAAUAAAAAAUUACAAAGUAACUGCAGAUAAUAAAUAGAACACAAUUAUAUAUAUAAAAAAUUACAAUUAACAGCAGAUAAUAAAUAGCACACCAUUGUGAUAAGGUUUAUCAUGAUGUAUAUGUAUCCAACGGUAAUUAUAACUCUUGCACCUACAAGUUAGUUUAGCCGAUGCAUAUCUCUUUUGUAAGCUGUAUCUAUUAUAAUGUGAAUACAAGUUUUGGUUCCAACGCUUGUGCAUUGCACCAAACAAUGGAGCAGAAAAGGAAACAAGAAAAAUUACCAAGUUCUGAAUGUGCCAGGCGAAUGUAAAGAUCUGUCCCUCCACUGGGGAAUCUCUGCACAUCAAUUAAGUUUCCAAUCCUUAAUACACAGCCAAAUCUGUAUGAUACAAAUAAGCUGUGCAGGAGCAAUUAUCCUUGUUGGAAAAACAGAGGAAAUAGAGAGGAGAGCUCAAAAUAAAACUCGAGAGCAUAAAAGAGAAACAUAAAUUCUGCUGAGUGUGCAACACAAGAAAGAGAAACAUAAACUCAUAGAUUAAAACAAGAGAUAUACAACCAGCUAUAUUUAAAAUAAGAAGCGCUUUCUUCUUUUUUUUCUUUUCUUCAUUUU